UUUCYGUAGGUGAACUGCGGAAGGAUCAUUG
Molecule: ribosomal RNA, 31 nt
Filed under: Orobanche minor
Lineage: Eukaryota; Viridiplantae; Streptophyta; Magnoliopsida; Lamiales; Orobanchaceae
Description: partial 18S ribosomal RNA
Source: RNAcentral